AUGGAGGGUGCCGAAAAUCCAAUAAAGAGUAGGCA
RNAcentral lists this non-coding RNA (35 nucleotides) under unclassified sequences. RNAcentral describes it as "DUF805b RNA". It matches the Rfam family "DUF805b RNA". From Rfam's summary of the family: Bacteroidetes, Chlorobi (1 example), Proteobacteria. Lineage (Flavobacteria) The record is from RNAcentral.